This 433-nucleotide ribosomal RNA is filed under the name uncultured bacterium. RNAcentral describes it as "partial 16S ribosomal RNA". It matches the Rfam family "Bacterial small subunit ribosomal RNA", at positions 29 to 507 of the family's 1533-position model. The record is from RNAcentral.
AAUGAACGCUGGCGGCAUGCCUAACACAUGCAAGUCGAACGAAGGCUUCGGCCUUAGUGGCGCACGGGUGCGUAACGCGUGGGAAUCUGCCCCUUGGUUCGGAAUAACAGUUAGAAAUGACUGCUAAUACCGGAUGAUGACGUAAGUCCAAAGAUUUAUCGCCGAGGGAUGAGCCCGCGUAGGAUUAGCUAGUUGGUGUGGUAAGAGCGCACCAAGGCGACGAUCCUUAGCUGGUCUGAGAGGAUGAUCAGCCACACUGGGACUGAGACACGGCCCAGACUCCUACGGGAGGCAGCAGUGGGGAAUAUUGGACAAUGGGCGAAAGCCUGAUCCAGCAAGGCCGCGUGAGUGAUGAAGGCCUUAGGGUUGUAAAGCUCUUUUACCCGGGAUGAUAAUGACAGUACCGGGAGAAUAAGCUCCGGCUAACUCCGUG